Molecule: ribosomal RNA, 279 nt
Filed under: uncultured bacterium
Lineage: Bacteria
Description: partial 16S ribosomal RNA
Rfam family: Bacterial small subunit ribosomal RNA
Source: RNAcentral
ACCUACGGGGGGCAGCAGUGGGGAAUAUUGCACAAUGGGGGAAACCCUGAUGCAGCGACGCCGCGUGAGUGAAGAAGUAUUUCGGUAUGUAAAGCUCUAUCAGCAGGGAAGAAAAAAGACGGUACCUGACUAAGAAGCCCCGGCUAACUACGUGCCAGCAGCCGCGGUAAUACGUAGGUGGCAAGCGUUAUCCGGAUUUACUGGGUGUAAAGGGCGUGUAGGCGGGAGUGCAAGUCAGAUGUGAAAACUAUGGGCUCAACCCAUAGCCUGCCUUUGAAA